AAUCCAUAGGUUAAUGAGGCGAACCGGGGGAACUGAAACAUCUAAGUACCCCGAGGAAAAGAAAUCAACCGAGAUUCCCCCAGUAGCGGCGAGCGAACGGGGAGGAGCCCAGAGCCUGAAUCAGCAUGUGUGUUAGUGGAAGCGUCUGGAAAGGCGCGCGAUACAGGGUGACAGCCCCGUACACAAAAGCGCAUGUGCUGUGAGCUCGAUGAGUAGGGCGGGACACGUGGUAUCCUGUCUGAAUAUGGGGGGACCAUCCUCCAAGGCUAAAUACUCCUGACUGACCGAUAGUGAACCAGUACCGUGAGGGAAAGGCGAAAAGAACCCCGGCGAGGGGAGUGAAAAAGAACCUGAAACCGUGUACGUACAAGCAGUGGGAGCACCCUUUGGGGUGUGACUGCGUACCUUUUGUAUAAUGGGUCAGCGACUUAUAUUCUGUAGCAAGGUUAACCGAAUAGGGGAGCCGGAGGGAAACCGAGUCUUAAUUGGGCGUUAAGUUGCAGGGUAUAGACCCGAAACCCGGUGAUCUAGCCAUGGGCAGGUUGAAGGUUGGGUAACACUAACUGGAGGACCGAACCGACUAAUGUUGAAAAAUUAGCGGAUGACCUGUGGCUGGGGGUGAAAGGCCAAUCAAACCGGGAGAUAGCUGGUUCUCCCCGAAAGCUAUUUAGGUAGCGCCUCGUGAAUUCAUCUCCGGGGGUAGAGCACUGUUUCGGCUAGGGGGCCAUCCCGGCUUACCAACCCGAUGCAAACUGCGAAUACCGGAGAAUGUUAUCACGGGAGACACACGGCGGGUGCUAACGUCCGUCGUGAAGAGGGAAACAACCCAGACCGCCAGCUAAGGUCCCAAAGUCAUGGUUAAGUGGGAAACGAUGUGGGAAGGCCCAGACAGCCAGGAUGUUGGCUUAGAAGCAGCCAUCAUUUAAAGAAAGCGUAAUAGCUCACUGGUCGAGUCGGCCUGCGCGGAAGAUGUAACGGGGCUAAACCAUGCACCGAAGCUGCGGCAGCGACACUCAGGUGUUGUUGGGUAGGGGAGCGUUCUGUAAGCCUGCGAAGGUGGCCUGUGAGGGUUGCUGGAGGUAUCAGAAGUGCGAAUGCUGACAUAAGUAACGAUAAAGCGGGUGAAAAGCCCGCUCGCCGGAAGACCAAGGGUUCCUGUCCAACGUUAAUCGGGGCAGGGUGAGUCGACCCCUAAGGCGAGGCCGAAAGGCGUAGUCGAUGGGAAACGGGUUAAUAUUCCCGUACUUGGUGUUACUGCGAAGGGGGGACGGAGAAGGCUAUGUUGGCCGGGCGACGGUUGUCCCGGUUUAAGCGUGUAGGUGUGUGUUCCAGGUAAAUCCGGUU
This 1344-nucleotide ribosomal RNA is filed under the name Salmonella enterica subsp. enterica serovar Agona. RNAcentral's name for it is "partial 23S ribosomal RNA". It matches the Rfam family "Bacterial large subunit ribosomal RNA", at positions 161 to 1547 of the family's 2925-position model. The record is from RNAcentral. RNAcentral also lists the same sequence under 1 other name. Lineage: Bacteria; Pseudomonadati; Pseudomonadota; Gammaproteobacteria; Enterobacterales; Enterobacteriaceae.